This 168-nucleotide unclassified non-coding RNA is filed under the name uncultured Leotiaceae. Its description in RNAcentral is "sequence contains ITS1". Lineage: Eukaryota; Fungi; Ascomycota; Leotiomycetes; Helotiales. The record is from RNAcentral.
CAGAGUCAAUAGACCAGCGUAAGCUAUCUAUACACUCCACCCUUUGUCUAACUUACCUUUGUUGCUUUGGCAGGCCUGCUAUUUAGCUACCGGCUUUGGCUGGUUAGCGCCUGCCAGAGGACCUAAAACUCUUGUUAAUUUUAUUGUCUGAGUACUAUAUAAUAGUUA